Molecule: ribosomal RNA, 301 nt
Filed under: uncultured bacterium
Lineage: Bacteria
Description: partial 16S ribosomal RNA
Rfam family: Bacterial small subunit ribosomal RNA
Source: RNAcentral
CAGUAGCCGCGGUAAAACGUAGGUGGCAAGCGUUGUCCGGAAUUAUUGGGCGUAAAGCGCGCGCAGGUGGUUUAAUAAGUCUGAUGUGAAAGCCCACGGCUCAACCGUGGAGGAUCAUUGGAAACUGUUAAACUUGAGUGCAGGAGAGAAAAGUGGAAUUCCUAGUGUAGCGGUGAAAUGCGUAGAGAUUAGGAGGAACACCGGUGGCGAAGGCGGCUUUUUGGCCUGUAACUGACACUGAGGCGCGAAAGCGUGGGGAGCAAACAGGAUUAGAUACCCCAGUAGUCCCUGUCUCUUAUAC